GGAGGUAUGGUGUAAUGGUAACACUUUCGGUUCUGAUGGUUCUCCAUCUAGAUCCGGCCCUUCUGGGCCUGUUAACAGGUCUCCGAAUGCCCCUGGUUCGAUUCCGGGUAUCUCCU
Molecule: non-coding RNA, 116 nt
Organism: Jaminaea rosea
Lineage: Eukaryota; Fungi; Basidiomycota; Exobasidiomycetes; Microstromatales
Source: the annotation of a RefSeq genome assembly